Molecule: RNA transcript, 3021 nt
Organism: Alnus glutinosa
Lineage: Eukaryota; Viridiplantae; Streptophyta; Magnoliopsida; Fagales; Betulaceae
Gene name: protein ACTIVITY OF BC1 COMPLEX KINASE 8, chloroplastic
Exons: 22
Source: RefSeq, a predicted model, not a curated record
UCCCUCACCUCCUCCAGUCCUCCUGUCUUCUUCUUCUUCCUUUCAAGGCUUCAACUGCUUCACUGUCACAACCACACAGAGAAAAGAAAACCCUUCUCUAUCUGUCACGGUCGCAAAUGAGAAAUUAGGGAUCAACUACUCUCCGGAAAAACCCAAUUCAUGGCGACUUCUCUACUUUUGCCUGAGCUCAUUUUUCUCUCUCCGCAAACCUUUCCCAAGCGCCGGCUUUGUCUCUCUGGGCAUUCUCCGUGUAGAAAUCGGCGGAAAAGCCUUUCUGUUCGGACUCCAAUUAGGGCUGUGAAUGAGGAAGGUGUGGCAGUGGAAGAGAGGGAAAGGCGAUUGGUCAAGGAAUUGAAUGGGAAUGGAGCUGCUAGUGGUUCGAGGUAUGGCGCGUACUCGAAUGGCGGCGUGGGUGUGUCCGAGAGUGAGAAUGGGAGCUUGGUGAAGUAUGUCAACGGGAAUGGUGUGGCGGCGGCGGCGGCGGAGGUGGUGCUGGAAGUUGAAGAUCCUGUGGCGAAGGAGGCGGGGAGGAAGAGAAGGGUAGAGGAGAUUGGGAAAGAAGACGCCUGGUUCAAGCAAGCUGGGGGAGAUUCCGUUGAGGUUUCUGUUGUACCUGGUGGCCGUUGGAAUAGAUUCAAAACCUACUCAACAAUACAGAGGACCUUGGAAAUAUGGGGAUCUGUUCUAACAUUUCUCUUUAAGGCUUGGUUGAACAAUCAAAAAUUCUCUUAUCGAGGAGGAAUGACAGAAGAGAAGAAAGCUUUAAGACGGAAGGCCCUCGCCAAGUGGCUUAAAGAGACUAUCUUGAGAUUAGGUCCUACAUUCAUCAAAAUUGGGCAGCAGUUCUCCACAAGGGUGGACAUUCUUGCUCAAGAAUAUGUUGAUCAGUUGUCAGAACUUCAGGAUCAAGUUCCUCCCUUCCCAUCAGAGACUGCUGUGUCCAUAGUUGAAGAGGAGCUUGGAGUUCCUGUGAAUGAUGUCUUUGAUCGGUUUGACUACGAACCAAUAGCUGCUGCAAGUCUCGGUCAGGUUCACCGUGCGAGAUUAAAGGGACAGGAUGUUGUUGUUAAAGUACAAAGGCCUGGUCUCAAGGGCCUUUUUGAUAUUGAUCUUAAAAACCUGAGGGUAAUUGCAGAAUACCUUCAAAAAGUUGACCCAAAGUCAGACGGUGCAAAGAGGGAUUGGGUGGCUAUCUAUGAUGAGUGUGCUAGUGUCUUAUAUCAGGAGAUUGAUUACACCAAGGAAGCUGCAAAUGCAGAACUAUUUGCAAGUAACUUCAAAAAUAUGGAAUAUGUGAAAGUUCCAUCAAUCUUUUGGGAGUAUACGACACCACAGGUUCUGACAAUGGAGUAUGUCCCAGGGAUCAAGAUAAACAAGAUACAAGCUUUGGAUCAGCUGGGUGUUGAUCGCCAAAGGUUGGGUCGAUAUGCUGUUGAAUCAUACUUGGAACAAAUUCUGUCUCAUGGUUUUUUUCACGCUGAUCCUCACCCUGGAAAUAUUGCUGUUGAUGAUGUCAAUGGUGGAAGGUUGAUCUUUUAUGAUUUUGGAAUGAUGGGGAGUAUUAGUCAAAAUAUCAGAGAAGGUUUGCUGGAAACAUUCUAUGGUGUUUAUGAGAAGAAUCCUGAUAAGGUCCUUCAGGCAAUGAUUCAAAUGGGUGUUCUUGUGCCUACUGGAGAUAUGACUGCUGUCAGACGAACAGCACAGUUCUUCCUUAACAGUUUUGAAGAGCGUCUUGCUGCACAAAGAAAAGAAAGAGAGAUUGCUGCAGCAGAGCUUGGUUUUAAAAAGCCAUUGAGCAAGGAGGAAAGAGUAAUGAAAAAGAAACAAAGGCUGGCUGCAAUUGGGGAAGAUUUAUUAGCCAUUGCAGCAGAUCAACCCUUUCGAUUUCCUGCUACAUUCACAUUUGUUGUUAGAGCAUUUUCAGUUUUGGAUGGCAUUGGGAAGGGCCUUGACCCUAGAUUUGAUAUUACUGAGAUUGCCAAACCCUAUGCACUGGAGUUGCUAAGGUUUCGGGAAGCAGGAGUUGAAGUUAUCUUAAAGGACUUUAGAAAGCGAUGGGACAGACAGUCCCAGGCAUUCUACAACUUAUUCAGACAGGCUGACAGAGUUGAAAGGCUUGCAGAAAUUAUCCAACGAUUGGAGCAAGGUGAUCUCAAACUACGAGUUCGAACUUUGGAGUCUGAGAGGGCAUUCCAGCGUGUUGCAGCAGUUCAGAGGACAGUAGGAAAUGCAGUAGCUGCUGGGAGCCUAAUAAACCUUGCCACAAUUUUCUAUUUUAAUUCCGUUCGAGUGCCUGCAAUUGUUGCAUAUGUCUUCUGCGCAUUUUUUGGCUUUCAAGUUCUAUUUGGUAUUAUAAAAGUCAGAAAACUAGAUGAACGGGAGAGGUUGAUAACAGGAACUGCUUAAACAACUGGUAAAGAAGUGGAGAUACAUAAUGUGCGAGACUUGUUGAUAUUUAAAGCAUGGAAUGGAGUACCUUCCUUCUUAGAAGUACAUUUCCUUGGUUGGGCACAAUGCAGAUCUAGAGUGGAGAUUCAGCUCAUAUCAAGCUCUCUAACUUCCCAAGUCAUCAGCUGCAAUAAUCGGAAAAAGGAAAGAGCUUAAAAGAGCACUUUCAUUCAAGGUUCUUUUACCAUCAAUAUGAGCUAAAAGUUCCAACUCAUUGAUUUAUGAUAAGAAAUUCUUAAGGCUGAACACUUCAAAUGCUUACUUAUAGUGAGAGUAGAACUUGUAAUUAGGUUAGCUAAAGCCACUUGGUUGUAAUUUUGAGUUGCCACAAGAAUGUCCCCAAAAGGACUCGAAGUCUCUUGCCGUGGUGUCUUUAUUGGCAGGCUGAUGUCCAUAAAUGAUAGCUUUCAACGUCAAGUAGGAGUUGCAUGUAUAAAAAAUUCUAUGUUAGAUGUUGGCACUGUUACCUCCCAUCUUAUUUGAGUGGAUGGGAUGUCCAGUAGUGGUAUAUAAUUUUGUAGGAUGAAUAAAUUUAUUCAAUAAGAUUUGCUCCCUUUCUGAGAUUUGUUUCAA